RNAcentral lists this ribosomal RNA (254 nucleotides) under uncultured bacterium. RNAcentral's name for it is "partial 16S ribosomal RNA". It matches the Rfam family "Bacterial small subunit ribosomal RNA", at positions 524 to 776 of the family's 1533-position model. The record is from RNAcentral.
UACGUAGGUGGCAAGCGUUGUCCGGAUUUACUGGGCGUAAAGGGCGCGUAGGCGGCCAGCACAAGUCAGUUGUGAAAUCUCCGAGCUUAACUCGGAAAGGUCAACUGAUACUGUGCGGCUAGAGUGCGGAAGGGGCAACUGGAAUUCUUGGUGUAGCGGUGAAAUGCGUAGAUAUCAAGAGGAACACCUGCGGCGAAGGCGGGUUGCUGGGCCGACACUGACGCUGAUGCGCGAAAGCCAGGGGAGCGAACGGG